RNAcentral lists this ribosomal RNA (373 nucleotides) under uncultured bacterium. RNAcentral's name for it is "bacterial SSU rRNA". It matches the Rfam family "Bacterial small subunit ribosomal RNA", at positions 542 to 917 of the family's 1533-position model. The record is from RNAcentral.
UAUACGGAUUAUUGGGCUUAAGGGCAUCUAGGCGGCCCUAUAAGUCUAGGGUGAAAACCUGCGGCUCAACCGCAGGCCUGCCCCGGAAACUAUAGGGCUGGAGUACUGGAGAGGUGGACGGAACUACACGAGUAGAGGUGAAAUUCGUAGAUAUGUGUAGGAAUGCCGAUGAUGAAGAUAGUUCACUGGACGGUAACUGACGCUGAAGUGCGAAAGCUGGGGGAGCAAACAGGAUUAGAUACCCUGGUAGUCCCAGCCGUAAACGAUGAUUACUGGGUGUGGGCAUGAAGAGUGUCCGUGCCGAAGCAAAUGCGAUAAGUAAUCCGCCUGGGGAGUACGGCCGCAAGGCUGAAACUCAAGGAAAAUUGACGGG